AAGUCGUAACAAGGUUUCCGUAGGUGAACCUGCGGAAGGAUCAUUAGUAUAUGAUACCUCUUAGGGGUCUUUGACUCCAUCCACACCUGUGCACUGUUAAUUGUUAGCUCCCUUUCGGAAUUGGGUACUGAGGGUUUAUUAGGAGUCGUCUCUCGGGGCUUCUCCUACCGGAAGGGUAGCACUUAAUACCUACUUUGUGUUUGUUAUUAGUCUGAAUGUUAUGGCUCUUCGAGCAACUUAACACAACUUUCAACGAUGGAUCUCUUGGCUUCCA
RNAcentral lists this unclassified non-coding RNA (274 nucleotides) under fungal sp. RNAcentral describes it as "partial internal transcribed spacer region". The stretch from base 1 to 46 matches the Rfam family "Eukaryotic small subunit ribosomal RNA", at positions 1786 to 1831 of the family's 1831-position model. Lineage: Eukaryota; Fungi. The record is from RNAcentral.